UGUAUACCAUCAUCUCUGUUUUGAUAGUGUAUGGUCAUGGAUGUAUUUACUAUGAAUAGUAGAUACGUCCAUAAACAUUCACUAUCAAUACAGAGAUGAUUGUGUUUU
Molecule: small RNA, 108 nt
Filed under: Mytilus galloprovincialis (Mediterranean mussel)
Lineage: Eukaryota; Metazoa; Mollusca; Bivalvia; Mytilida; Mytilidae
Source: RNAcentral